CCCAAAAAGACAGCUCAUUCGGAUUNAAGGCUGAAAUUCGCCUUCAUGAAGCCGGAAUUGCUAGUAAUGGCAGGUCAGCAUACUGCCGUGAAUACGUUCCCGGGCCUUGUACACACCGCCCGUCACACCAUGAGAGUUGGGGAUACCCGAAGCCUGUGAGCUAACAGUAAUGAAGCAGCAGUCGAAGGUAGAAUCAAUGAUUGGGGUGAAGUCGUAACAAGGUAGC
This 226-nucleotide ribosomal RNA is filed under the name uncultured bacterium. Its description in RNAcentral is "partial 16S ribosomal RNA". It matches the Rfam family "Bacterial small subunit ribosomal RNA", at positions 1273 to 1500 of the family's 1533-position model. The record is from RNAcentral.